CCAGACUCCUACGGGGGGCAGCAGUGGGGAAUAUUGCACAAUGGGGGAAACCCUGAUGCAGCGACGCCGCGUGAGUGAAGAAGUAAUUCGUUAUGUAAAGCUCUAUCAGCAGGGAAGAAGAUGACGGUACCUGAGUAAGAAGCCCCGGCUAACUACGUGCCAGCAGCCGCGGUAAUACGUAGGGGGCAAGCGUUAUCCGGAUUUACUGGGUGUAAAGGGAGCGUAGACGGCAGUGCAGGUCUGGAGUGAAAGGCGGGGGCUCAACCCCCGGACUGCUCUGGAAACUGUACGGCUGGAGUGCAGGAGAGGUAAGUGGAAUUCCUAGUGUAGCGGUGAAAUGCGUAGAUAUUAGGAGGAACACCAGUGGCGAAGGCGGCUUGCUGGACUGUAACUGACGUUGAGGCUCGAAAGCGUGGGGAGCAAACAGGAUUAGAUACCCCAGUAAUG
This 447-nucleotide ribosomal RNA is filed under the name uncultured bacterium. RNAcentral's name for it is "bacterial SSU rRNA". It matches the Rfam family "Bacterial small subunit ribosomal RNA", at positions 331 to 793 of the family's 1533-position model. The record is from RNAcentral.